This 253-nucleotide ribosomal RNA is filed under the name uncultured bacterium. RNAcentral's name for it is "partial 16S ribosomal RNA". It matches the Rfam family "Bacterial small subunit ribosomal RNA", at positions 524 to 776 of the family's 1533-position model. The record is from RNAcentral.
GACAGAGGGUGCAAACGUUGUUCGGAAUUACUGGGCGUAAAGCGCGUGUAGGCUGCUCUGCAAGUCGGAUGUGAAAGCCCGGGGCUCAACCCCGGGUCGGCCGUGCGAACUGUCGAGCUGGAGCACUGUAGGGGCAGGUGGAAUUCCGGGUGUAGCGGUGGAAUGCGUAGAGAUCCGGAAGAACACCGGUGGCGAAGGCGGCCUGCUGGGCAGUGGCUGACGCUGAGGCGCGACAGCGUGGGGAGCAAACAGG